GUGGGGAAUAUUGGGCAAUGGGCGAAAGCCUGACCCAGCAACGCCGCGUGAAGGAAGAAGGCUUUCGGGUUGUAAACUUCUUUGACAGGGGAAGAGUAGAAGACGGUACCCUGAAAACAAGCCACGGCUAACUACGUGCCAGCAGCCGCGGUAAUACGUAGGUGGCAAGCGUUGUCCGGAUUUACUGGGUGUAAAGGGCGUGCAGCCGGGAAGGCAAGUCAGAUGUGAAAUCCGUGGGCUUAACCUACGAACUGCAUUUGAAACUGCUUUUCUUGAGUAUCGGAGAGGUAAUCGGAAUUCCUAGUGUAGCGGUGAAAUGCGUAGAUAUUAGGAAGAACACCAGUGGCGAAGGCGGAUUACUGGACGACAACUGACGGUGAGGCGCGAAAGCGUGGGGAGCAAACAGGAUUAGAUACCCGAGUAGUCC
RNAcentral lists this ribosomal RNA (427 nucleotides) under uncultured bacterium. Its description in RNAcentral is "bacterial SSU rRNA". It matches the Rfam family "Bacterial small subunit ribosomal RNA", at positions 354 to 796 of the family's 1533-position model. The record is from RNAcentral.